AGUGCAUCGGAUCAGGAGCAAUCUUCUCAGUGUCUGGUUACAUGUCUUUAUUUCCCCCCUUCUAUUUAAUCCUCUCUAGUCCCUUAAUUAAUUUAAUUCCCCUUUUUUCCUGUUUGAUUUCUCACCCUACCCCUUUCCCUGCCCUGUGGGAAGAUUCUCCCUGUACCUGUGAGCGCUGCCUGUGCGUAAUCCUCCUGGGCUUGCCUUUCCCAAUAGGGAGAGAGCCCCCAUUAGGGGCUUUCUUUUGCAAAGAGGUUUUCCCCAUUUUUGCCUGUUUAAUUGUGGGGCUAGUCAGGGCUGUUCCCAGCUUAGCUGGAAUCACUUCGUUUAUAGUAUCCCCAAAGGUGGCUUUAUUUUGGGUGCAUGCAGUGCUGUUGGCUGAGUUUUAAUUUAGCCUUGGGCGGGAGCACUAUAUUGAGUUCCUUUAAUAUUGCAAUGAGACAAUAAAAGGCAGAGAGCAGAAGCAGGGAGGCCUUCACGGCCUGCUCGGCCUGCACAUACCAUUCAAGCCUAAGCCUGCUACAGUUAGCAGUACAGUAAUUGUUAAGUCUCUCUGACAUGUGACUCACUUUCUCUAUAAGAAUUUAUCUGUUUGUUUGCAGGCUCACUUGUUGCUAAUGUAUAUCUUAGGCAGACAGAGUGGAGCCAGAGGCUCUCUGUGCCUCCAGUGAGCACUCUGUGUAUGCUCUUUAACUAUGCUGUUUCAGAACAAGUUUAUUUUCUUCAAGUUUGUUUUGCCCUGAUAGUGGCAAUUGCCAUUUUAGAGACGAGCCAUUGUGGCUUAGUGGCUAGAGCGCAGUACUAGGACCUGGGAGACAGGGUUCAUAUCCCCCACUUAGCCAUUGUUAUCACAAAACAAAACAAGCUGCUCCUUUUGGACUAUUCUGUUGCUGGGUAGUUCGGCCCACUUGUGAUAUUGCUCCCAAAAAGAACUUUGGGUUUUCUUGAGGAGGUGCUUCCCUCUAAAGGGCAAACAGGGGUACCUGGACAGGCGGUGGGCUGCCUCGAAUUUGUUAUCUCAUUGGAAACAUUUAUGUCUGGCCUAGCAGGUGAUCUUAGGGCUUGGCCCUAGAAUUUGAUGGCCUCUGGCAGCGUUUCUGGCCUGAAUAGCUUCCCCAUGUGGUGCACAAAGCAUUGGUUUCACCAGUUCCUCACAUUUAGUUUUGCAGACUAUGACAGAGCCUUUGCAGAUGCCUCCAGAGCUUGCCUCUCCUGCAGAGGUUGACUUGCUGAUGCCCUAGGUGCCUUCUUCCAGAAGGAAGCGUCUUCGGAGGCGGCGAUCCAGGAGCAGGGAAAAGGGGAGCAGGGAUGAUGCUUACACCUCCUUGCAGGUACGUCAAACCUGGGUCUUUAGGGAUCAUCCUGGAUAGCUCAGCUGGUCAGCGUAUGGUGCCGGUAAUACCUAGGUUGCAGUCUUGGUCCCUGUAUGGAACAGCUGCAUGUUCCCCCAUCACUCUACCCGGUCACUGAGGUCCAGCGCCGAGGGCCUUCUGGUGGUUCCCUCACUGAGAGGCCAAGUUACAGGGCACCAUGUGGAGGACCUUCUCGGUAGUGGCACCCGCCAUGUGGUACGCCCUCCCAUCAGAUGUCUACUACCAGACUUUUAGAAGACAUCUAAGGCAGCCCUGUUUAGGGAAGCCUUUAAUGUUUGCUGCAUUACUGUAUUUCAAUCUUUUGUUGGAAGCUGCCCAGAGUGGCUGGGGAACAAAUAGAUGAUGAUGAUGAUGAUGAUUAUAUUGUGGGAGAGUGGACCAGAUGAUCCUCAGGGUCCCUUCCACCCCACUAUUCUUUACGUUGCAAUUCAAUAUGGGAAUGCAGGGCUGCCAUCAUCCCCUCAGCUUGCUAGGAUCGCAGGGACGGGGACAUGUGGACCACUUGUGCAGCUCCACAUUUCAAAUGGAAAUUCCCUGAGCUAUAGAACCUUAAGCUGGUAUGCAGGAAGCUGGCCCGGCAGCAGCUUUGUUGGGACUUUUUAGGGUUUCUGGCCGGCGUUGGCCCUGCAAAUUUACACAUCAUGGUGGCAACACAAGGCAGGGCAUUUUGCCCAAUGUGGGGGCUGGGGGCUAGCAAGCAAUAACUCAAUACC
This 2086-nucleotide long non-coding RNA is filed under the name Podarcis lilfordi (Lilford's wall lizard). The record is from RNAcentral. Lineage: Eukaryota; Metazoa; Chordata; Lepidosauria; Squamata; Lacertidae.